This 409-nucleotide ribosomal RNA is filed under the name Fusobacteriota bacterium. RNAcentral describes it as "Fusobacteria bacterium partial 16S ribosomal RNA". It matches the Rfam family "Bacterial small subunit ribosomal RNA", at positions 355 to 776 of the family's 1533-position model. Lineage: Bacteria; Fusobacteriati; Fusobacteriota. The record is from RNAcentral.
UGGGGAAUAUUGCACAAUGGAGGGAACUCUGAUGCAGCAACGCCGCGUGCGGGAUGACGGCCUUCGGGUUGUAAACCGCUUUCAGCCAUGACGAAGCUUUUGUGACGGUAGUGGUAGAAGAAGCACCGGCUAACUACGUGACAGCAGCCGCGGUGAUACGUAGGGUGCGAGCGUUGUCCGGAAUUAUUGGGCGUAAAGAGCUUGUAGGCGGUUUGUCGCGUCGAUAGUGUAAACACGCAGCUUAACUGUGUGCCUGCUGUCGAUACGGGCUGACUAGAGGAGGGUAGGGGAGAAUGGAAUUCCCGGUGGAGCGGUGGAAUGCGCAGAUAUCGGGAGGAACACCAGUGGCGAAGGCGGUUCUCUGGACCUUUCCUGACGCUGAGAAGCGAAAGCGUGGGUAGCAAACAGG